ACCACCCAGGACCGGCUGUGCCCAGCACAGGAGAGCCCCUGCUCUCCCAUCUGAGCCCCUGGCUGGUCUAAUCCCACCCCUCCCACGCAGCCCCUCACUCUGGACUCCUGGAUCCCUCUGGAUCCCUCUGGAUCAGGACUGACUUGGCCUUGGGCCUUUAUUUCUCUCCAAGCCUUGAUGGGGGCAGCUCACAUUGGGAAUAAUUUCUACAGGUGUUCUGUGUUUUAACUCAGCUCUCCUACUCAGCUGCCUAAAAGUGGUACAGUCACCAAGUGCCUAAUGUGAGCUCUUGAGGCUUAUUUCAGUCAUCCAGUUUGGGAACAUUCUGGUUCAAAAGGGGAAAAUAAGCUUUGUUAGGUCAAUGAAUGCUUAGAAAACUCAAACUUUUAUUAAUUAAAUAAUACUCAAGAGUUCCAAACUGAAUAUUCAGUAAAUGAGACAGAAAAAAAGCCUGAUGCUUUUCUAGUCUAAUUUAAGAGAAAUAGAUAAGAUUAAACCAAUGUGAGAGAGAGAAUCCAGAUGUUGCUGUUACUCUGUGGUGGAUGACUGCUUUCCCCAAGAAAAAUUCAGUGGAGAAAUUCACGCCCUAAGGCCGGUAUUUAUUGCUUGAGGAGCAAAUUGUGGGCCGAGUUUCUCUUCCCUCCAGUCACAAAGGGAGUUGGCAUCAGGCUUGGUGGAGAAAUGUGGGUCCUAACCCAUGGUGCAUCCCCUGCUCUGAGGGCCACCUCCUCCUCUGCAGUCCACUCCAACGUGGAGGAAGCACAGCCACAAUCAGCCACUUAAAACCUCACCUUUCAAAUACUUCUUGUCCUGCACAGUGCCAAGACCUGAGGAUGAACAGGUUCCUGUGGAUGACACCAGCAGAGACAGAAAUCAGAUUGCCUUGGGAACAGAGGAAGAAUAUUCUUCCCUGACCUUCACAUGGGCUGAAGCAACUGUGCUCACUCCUUCACCUUCCAAUCAUUUGCCUCUCUGCCACGAGCUGCUAAAAUAGGGCAGAGAUACAGCCAGUCUCUGUGGCAGUUUGGCAUCUAAAAUUAGCUCCUGCAACAGAAAACACCUCGAGUUUGGCCUAAUUAAGUUCUGUUGAUGUUAUUGCUAUUUCUUCACUAUUUCAGUAGGAGGAGGUGGGUGGCUGCUUGUGUGUUCCAGGACCAUCAAACAUCAACAACCACGGUGACAACACAAAUGCUACAUGCUAUACCCAGGGAAAGUGCAGGAAAGUCACUGCCAGCACUGAAAUUAUCAGAAUAAAGGCAAAAAUAAUA
Long non-coding RNA from Vidua macroura (Pin-tailed whydah), 1268 nucleotides. RefSeq lists it as uncharacterized. NCBI's taxonomy places the organism in Eukaryota, Metazoa, Chordata, Aves, Passeriformes, Viduidae. The record is from RefSeq and is a predicted model, not a curated record. The transcript has 4 exons.